RNAcentral lists this long non-coding RNA (1457 nucleotides) under Aotus nancymaae (Ma's night monkey). RNAcentral describes it as "lncRNA (ENSANAG00000038635.1)". The record is from RNAcentral. Lineage: Eukaryota; Metazoa; Chordata; Mammalia; Primates; Aotidae.
CCCAGGUGUGUGACCCCGGUUGUGGGACCCCGACCCACGGAGGCAGGCAGGCGCUCGACCGACACGAGGCAGGAAGCAUGGUGACCAGUACCGACUUUAUUGGGAUCUCCAGGCGACUCCGGCGGGCAGGGAGGAAUCGCGCGUGCUUUCUUUGUUCAAUCUGUUUUAUAGGGGCAGAGGGCCUGGGGCGGCGGGAGAGCUGAUCUGGCAGGUAGUGAUAGGCUAGGGGGAGUUGACCUGGCGGGUAGUGAUUGGCCAGGUUGGUUGCUAGGCUGGAAACCUGCCGGGCGGGAGUUUGUGGGAGGCGAGGUUACGGGAGAGCUGAUGGGGUGGAUGGUGAUUGGUUCAGUGACCGGCCAGGCGGGAAGGUUGCUGGUCUCGGGCCGGGCCUGGAUGGAAUGAGAUAAGGGCCCCUCCCUGCAGGGGAGGAAGGGCUACCUUUGCUGGGAAUUAGUCCCUUUCCACAUGGCCGGGGAAUGGGGCCAAAAGUCCCCUACCAGACACCAGGGAGCAGCCAUGGAGGGCUGAGUGUGGCCUCGCUGGUCCAGUGUGGCCGACCUUGGAUGUGGUCAGGAGCCCAGGAGUUUGAUCUGGGUUCAGGCUAAGGGUGUUGAAAAUCAUGUGGCAGCUAGAUCCAGACCUGUGGAAUCAGGGACCACGCACUGUGGCGUGCAAGAGAGUGGUCACGUCUGCAUAUUCAUUCAGUGUGUGCGCAUGUGCACGCCUGCAUUCAUGUGUGUACACGAACUGAGGUGCGUGUGUGGGCGUGUGCACCGUGUGUACAUACAUACACCAUCACAUCUACAGGCACACGUGUAGCUCUAUCCAGGAUUUGAAGGUGUCAAUUACACACAACCCUGUAUCGCCCUGGAAGAGUCUCAAAAAGACUCCCAAGGACUUAGGGUCUUCUAAGGAAAGAAAUAGCUCAGCCCGGUCAAGAUCCGGCCCAGAAAGGAUCUGUCGCUUCGUCCCCUCCCUCUUGCCACUCCAGGGUGUUCAGGUGUCUGCUGACCAUCACACUCUUCUCUUUUUUUAUUUUUAUUUUUUUAAAGACAGGGUUUCACCAUAUUGGUCAGGCUGGUCUCAAACUCCCAACCUCAGGUGAUCCGCCCGCCUCAGCCUCCCAAAGUGCUGGGAUUACAGGCGUGAACCACUGUGCCCGGCUCUUCUCUUCUUUUGACAAAAACUUUGGAGAGAAAGUUUGCAAAACAGCAUUCUGCAAACAUUGGCUGCUUAAAAGAAUGGAGACAACUGUGCCAUUCUGGUGGAGCUUCGCUGCUGCCCUGAGAAUUCUGGCUGCCUCUCGGGCUGCAAAGGACAGGGGAAACAGCCUCCAAGAGGGAAAGGAAGGUCCCCGUGGCAAUGUGGCUGGACGGAGCAUUUGAGCCGACUUCUGUCCCCUGAGCAUGUGCUGGGAUGUGCAGGAGCUAGGUGCUCACUGCUCACUUGGAGCUGAG